UGGGGAAUAUUGCACAAUGGGCGCAAGCCUGAUGCAGCCAUGCCGCGUGUGUGAAGAAGGCCUUCGGGUUGUAAAGCACUUUCAGCGGGGAGGAAGGCGAUAAGGUUAAUAACCUCAUCGAUUGACGUUACCCGCAGAAGAAGCACCGGCUAACUCCGUGCCAGCAGCCGCGGUAAUACGGAGGGUGCAAGCGUUAAUCGGAAUUACUGGGCGUAAAGCGCACGCAGGCGGUCUGUCAAGUCGGAUGUGAAAUCCCCGGGCUCAACCUUGGAACUGCAUUCGGAACUGGCAGGCUAGAGUCUUGUAGAGGGGGGUGGAAUUCCAGGUGUAGCGGUGAAAUGCGUAGAGAUCUGGAGGAAUACCCGUGGCGUAGGCGGCCCCCUGGAAAAAGACUGACGCUCAGGUGCGAAAGCGUGAGGAGCAAACAGG
RNAcentral lists this ribosomal RNA (429 nucleotides) under Chloroflexota bacterium. RNAcentral's name for it is "Chloroflexi bacterium partial 16S ribosomal RNA". It matches the Rfam family "Bacterial small subunit ribosomal RNA", at positions 355 to 776 of the family's 1533-position model. Lineage: Bacteria; Bacillati; Chloroflexota. The record is from RNAcentral.